This 495-nucleotide long non-coding RNA is filed under the name Penaeus japonicus. RNAcentral's name for it is "uncharacterized LOC122266996". Lineage: Eukaryota; Metazoa; Arthropoda; Malacostraca; Decapoda; Penaeidae. The record is from RNAcentral.
AGCAGACCCUCUUCAAUAGAAUCCUUCUGAGCAUCACACAGUGAGCACAUCCGUUCCGCUACAAAGCUACUUGUUUAACUUCGAAGUUUCGUCUUUCUAAACAAUCAAGAUGCGUUUCUUCCUUGUUCUGUUGGCCCUGUGCUGCUUCCUGAGCGCCGGUUUCGCCCUUCCGUUGGCCAGAGGAAGAGCCACGUCCAGGGUUGCUAACGACAGAUACUUCGUCUCGCGACAGGGCAUCAGAGGGUACCGCCGCACUGAGUCAGGACGGCUGUACGUGCCCAAGAAUUUCCUCAGAUAAAAAGGGAGAAACGUGUGACAAAUGCAACGUUUAUCACACAUACGAAGAUCUCCUGUUAUUUAUUAUGUAUCACGAGAUGCGUGACAUGUUCCUAGGGUGUUCUCACGGUCUCAGUUUUGUCCAUAUCUAUAUAUCCUUAUAUUUUUUGUAACACUUUAUAGUCCUAUUUUUAUAUGCAAUUAAAGACACGAAAUGUU